GCUUACGGCCAUACCACCCUGAAUGCGCCCGAUCUCGUCUGAUCUCGGAAGCUAAGC
Molecule: non-coding RNA, 57 nt
Organism: Larimichthys crocea (large yellow croaker)
Lineage: Eukaryota; Metazoa; Chordata; Actinopteri; Sciaenidae
Source: Rfam